Molecule: ribosomal RNA, 467 nt
Filed under: uncultured bacterium
Lineage: Bacteria
Description: bacterial SSU rRNA
Rfam family: Bacterial small subunit ribosomal RNA
Source: RNAcentral
UUACGGGAGGCAGCAGCUAAGAAUCUUCCGCAAUGGGGGAAACCCUGACGGAGCGACGCCGCGUGGAUGAUGAAGGCCGUAAGGUUGUAAAAUCCUUUUGUUGGCGAAGAAUAAGCCCAGGAGUGGAACGCCUGGGUGAUGACGUUAGCCGACGAAUAAGCCCCGGCCAAUUACGUGCCAGCAGCCGCGGUAAUACGUAUGGGGCAAGCGUUGUUCGGAGUUAUUGGGCGUAAAGGGCGUGUAGGCGGCUCAUCAAGUCUGGUGUGAAAUCUUCAGGCUUAACCUGAGAUAUGCGCUGGAAACUGGUGGGCUUGAGUUCUUGAGGGGAAGCUGGAAUUCCAGGUGUAGGGGUGAAAUCUGUAGAUAUCUGGAAGAACACCGGUGGCGAAGGCGAGCUUCUAUCAAAGGACUGACGCUGAGGCGCGAAAGCGUGGGGAGCAAACAGGAUUAGAUACCCGUGUAGUCCC